GCCGAGAUAGCUCAGCCGGUAGAGCAGGGGACUGAAAAUCCCCGUGUCCGCAGUUCAACUCUGCGUCUCGGCACCA
This 76-nucleotide transfer RNA is filed under the name bacterium. Its description in RNAcentral is "tRNA-Phe". It matches the Rfam family "tRNA". From Rfam's summary of the family: Transfer RNA (tRNA) molecules are approximately 80 nucleotides in length. Their secondary structure includes four short double-helical elements and three loops (D, anti-codon, and T loops). RNAcentral also lists the same sequence under 1 other name. The record is from RNAcentral.